AUGAGUGGGUUGACUUUUCUUGACGUGUAUUUUAUACAACGAGCAACUACCUUGCGCCGUCUUCCAGCCACCAACAACCCCAUGACCCUGCAUCAGGUCAAAAAAAUAUUCAAUAAUUAUUUCUUAUGCAGGGUCAUUGAAUUGUUGGCUUCAGACAUGCUGUACUGUUGGGCUUCAAGCGUACUUCGGACAAAUUUGAUUUUGGGAAGACAAAGGUCUGACAAGGAUGAGAAUGGGAUACCAGAUUACACCGACGGAGGCUCGGACAUGGAUCUGCUCCUGCUCUUAGCGGGAAUACUGGAUGUUCUUGAAGCUUUGCCAUACACACGUGCUACUUUUGGCACUUGCGUGGGCUCCUGUUUGUGUCAAUGCAAUUUGCAUCUGUCAGCAGAUUAUGGCGACCUUGGUUAUUGGCCUACAGGGUGCUCCACCGAUGGUGAAAAUACCUCACAGGAUGAUGUUGGAUAUUAUUCUACAAACUUCGGGCCUACCGGUGGCUGA
This 501-nucleotide ribosomal RNA is filed under the name Triticum aestivum (bread wheat). RNAcentral's name for it is "partial small subunit ribosomal RNA". The record is from RNAcentral. Lineage: Eukaryota; Viridiplantae; Streptophyta; Magnoliopsida; Poales; Poaceae.